Molecule: non-coding RNA, 1290 nt
Organism: Pelobates cultripes (western spadefoot toad)
Lineage: Eukaryota; Metazoa; Chordata; Amphibia; Anura; Pelobatidae
Source: the annotation of a GenBank genome assembly
GCACAUAUAACAUGUAAUGGUGAGAGCUGAUAGGCCAAAGCAUAUAUUCAAGUUAUCUUGAUAAAUUAACAUCUAAAUGCAAAGCUAUAAAAUGGUACAAUAUUGUGGGCAUAUCAGCACAGUAAAUCUGUGAUAGCCAAACUCACUUGUCUUAGAGUUUUGCACCUAUAAAAAUAACAAUAAAAUGAAACUUGUACAUUACAUUUCUUCUAAUGGCUACUUGAAUAACUGUUCUUCCGAAUAUGAGAAUACUGGAAAAGGGAAUUAGAAGCAAUUAUAUUAGAUAUAUAUAUCUUUAUUCGAAGAUCAGAAAAUAAAGUGACUAUGUAAAACCUUGUGAAGCCCCUAACAAAAUAUUCCAUAAUAUGAUUGAGAUUGCUUCUAAUGAUACAUUUUAUAUACAACCGAAAAAAUAACCUCUGUAUCAAUUAUUAGGCUUAGUGUAAACCACAAAAGAGAUAAAAAUCUACCUUACUACUGAAUGGUAAUCCGAUAAAAAUAUAAUUUAUACAGAGGUUAUUUUUUCUGUUCUUCUUGUAUACUAGCUUUAGUAGGGCGGAACAGCCAUAUGGUGAAACUUUGCGUUUAUUUUCUGAUCUUUGAAUGAAGAUAUGUGGCCAAUAAAAUCAUUUCUAAUUCUCUUUUCAGGUCUUCCCAUGUUUGGAAGAGUAGUAAUUAUUACUUUUUUAAUUUAAAAGACCUUUUUUUUUUGUUGGCUUGAGAAAUAAGUUGUUUUUUAUUGAUUAUUUUAUAUGUAGGGUCCUAAUUACCAAGGAGUCUAUACACACACCUAUAAUAAGAGAGUAAAAUAUCCCAGAGCUUCCAAACUGACAUAUAUAGCCAAUAUUUCACUAAUUUAAACCAUAUUUUUUUCAUAAAUAGCUGUUGGUGCAUGAUUCAUCAAUCUAGAUUUUCAUACAAGAAAAGGUCUAACCUAUUUGUUUACAAAUGUUGUCUGGGUGCCCUACAUAUUUUCUUUGGCCUAAAAUCCUUAGAAACAUGGGGCAUAUUUUAGUUCAAAUUGGUAAUGUGGGUCCAGAAUAUUAUGUGUCAUUAUGUUUGAGGGGUUUGUUAACUUUGCUAAUCUAUUUCACAACCUUUUCAUAGAAGGCAAUUACAGAGUUUUGAUUGAUGACAUACAAUUUAAGAUUCAAUGUCUUUCAAAUAUUUGUAUGUACUUACUGACUGCUUUUUCAUUUAGAUAUUUGGAUUCCCAAGUAUUUUGGCAUGACUAUUUGAAGUAUCCCCUUUAAGGAAAUUUAGAAGUGCUAUCAGUAUAAUUUAUUCAAC